Molecule: long non-coding RNA, 1233 nt
Organism: Alexandromys fortis (reed vole)
Lineage: Eukaryota; Metazoa; Chordata; Mammalia; Rodentia; Cricetidae
Exons: 3
Source: RefSeq, a predicted model, not a curated record
GGGGGGCUCAGGCUGCAAAGGCGUCGGGUUUGUCAGCUGGUUCACUCCUAGGACACGGAGAGGGACUGACACCUAGGUUAUAAGGUGCAGGUGAAGUGUCUCAUCUACAGAUCCACUCAAUAGCCGAGCAAGACUUUGAACUCCUGAUCCGCCUGCUUCUACAGCCCAGGUGAUGGGACUAUGGGUGUAUGCUACGUGCCGAGCCCUUGCAUAAAUCUCAACUUUUUGUGAGAUUUGGAAAAAACAGCCCGAAACUACAAAACAGCUCGGCAUGGCAAUGGUGAUUGCAGCUGUGUGACUCCCCGAUUGUACAGACCCCCGCGACUAGGAUUUACACUUCAAAUUGCUGCCAUCCGGAAAGCAUCAGAGCUUUAGUGGCUGCAACAGGUGCUGCGUGUGACUGUCACUUUUAAACAAAUAGCGCAUCUUCUGGGAAGAUGCUCCGAUUUUUUAAAAAGGCACAGAUGUAGAUUUCAUUUUAUUAUGAUUGAUAAAGGAACGUAAAUCGCCUUCAAUUGGAGGAAGACAUUUAUUUUCAAGUUAACUACUGAAUUCAUUUUCCGGAAACAAGCUUGAAUUGCUCAAGUUAAUUUCUUUACAGAAGGAGCUCUGGAAGCCAAUUCUCUUUCCAAACUAAGAUUACUACCAUUUGAAUCCAAUGAAGAAAAGGGGGAGAGAAGAGUAGACAACCUUAUCCUUAUCCAUGCGCAGGUGACUGUAACCUACCCAGUUUUCCCUCCUGUCUUGCCUAUAUUUCUUUAGAGUAAUUGCAGAAUCUAUGGGCAAAGCAUGGGCCUGCCCCAACUAACCUGGACAUUGUUCCGGCCCCUCCUUUGGGAGGAACUACUCCUGACAGUCCAAACUUGAUUCCACUCCAUUCGAAGCAGGAUGACCUUUUCAAUUUUUUGCCUGCAACGGAACAGUGACCUGUUGGGAGCAGUGAGACCCCAGAUCCUGAAUUUCUUGUAAACAACUUGUUUUCCCCUGAUCUGAGUGCCUACAGCUGCUCUGAGCACGAGACCUUCAGGAGUUCCUGAUGGCAGGAGAGUGGUUUCUGGUGGGUUUGGCUGGGGCGUGGCUAGCUCUAUAUAAUCUGCCCCUGAACACAAUAAAGGGAGCAUUCUUGGGGCUUUUGGUAUCAGUGUUAAGAGGUCUGCGUGUCGGUCUGUCUCUGCGUCUGUAUUCUCAACCUCCAGCCCCUUGCCUGAAGCUCGCGAACUGGGGUCUAGCGCA